GAAAUGCGAUAAGUAGUGUGAAUUGCAGAAUUCAGUGAAUCAUCGAAUCUUUGAACGCACAUUGCGCCCCUUGGUAUUCCAUGGGGCAUGCCUGUUCGAGCGUCAUUUGUACCUUCAAGCUUUGCUUGGUGUUGGGUGUUUGUCUCGCCUCUGCGCGCAGACUCGCCUCAAAACAAUUGGCAGCCGGCGUAUUGAUUUCGGAGCGCAGAACAUCUCGCGCUUUGCACUCAUAACGACGACGUCCAAAAAGUACAUUUUUUACACUCUUGACCUCGGAUCAGGUAGGGAUACCCGCUGAACUUAAGC
This 306-nucleotide unclassified non-coding RNA is filed under the name plant metagenome. Its description in RNAcentral is "partial contains 5.8S ribosomal RNA, internal transcribed spacer 2, and large subunit ribosomal RNA". The stretch from base 1 to 105 matches the Rfam family "5.8S ribosomal RNA", at positions 50 to 154 of the family's 154-position model. The record is from RNAcentral.